This is a long non-coding RNA of Balaenoptera acutorostrata (minke whale), 569 nucleotides long. RefSeq lists it as uncharacterized. The transcript has 4 exons. The record is from RefSeq and is a predicted model, not a curated record. NCBI's taxonomy places the organism in Eukaryota, Metazoa, Chordata, Mammalia, Artiodactyla, Balaenopteridae.
UUGGGGGCACCCUAACCUCUCCGAGCCUCAAUUUCCCCAUGUUGGAGGUUCCACCGAGGUUCCACCGAGGCUGGAAGCCGUAGAAGCACGUAGGAAGCUACAGGGUCCCGCAUCAGAACCAAUUUCCGGCUUUGUGCUCCAUGACUUCGCAGGAAGAAGAGCUGGAUGAUGCUUGGAAGGUUCCAGAAGACAUCAUGGGGAGGCACCUCAGGACAGAAAAGUGAAUUAUCCACGAGGAUUCAGUGGCUGCGCUCCUGAUCAAAGGCUGGUGUUGGGAAAGUCUCUGAAGUCAGAAUUGUGAAACGGGACUGAAGGCGCUGACAAUUCUGCAGCAGCACAGACUCUGGGGAGAAGAUGAGGAAACUGAUGCUCAGUGAGAUUACCUUUGCCCAAGUUCUGGAAAGUGAUGGAGGCAGCUUUCAGAUGCAGGCUCUUAAUUCUCCGACCAGAGAUUGAACCUGGGUCACGGCAGUGCAAACGCUGAGACCUAACCACUGGACCGCCAGGGAGCUCCCAUUAACUCAUUUAAUCUUGCCAACAGCCCUGAGCCAUGGGUGCAGAUUGCAAAA